Non-coding RNA from Mumia flava, 92 nucleotides. Lineage: Bacteria; Bacillati; Actinomycetota; Actinomycetes; Propionibacteriales; Nocardioidaceae. The record is from Rfam.
GUCUAUGGCGGGCCGGGCGGGGAGACCUUCGGGUCUGCCGGUCGUUCUCUAAGGGCCGGUUCGCCAGCCCCGCCGUCAGGCCCGCCACCCCU